This 430-nucleotide ribosomal RNA is filed under the name uncultured bacterium. RNAcentral describes it as "bacterial SSU rRNA". It matches the Rfam family "Bacterial small subunit ribosomal RNA", at positions 1042 to 1499 of the family's 1533-position model. The record is from RNAcentral.
UGCAUGGCCGUCGUCAGCUCGUGUCGUGAGAUGUUUGGUUAAGUCCAUCAACGAGCGCAACCCUUAUAGUUAGUUGGAUUUUUCUAGCUAGACUGCCCCGGUAACGGGGAGGAAGGAGGGGAUGAUGUCAGGUCAGUAUUUCCCUUACAUCCUGGGCUACAAACACGCUACAAUGGCCGGUACAAAGGGCAGCCAACCCGCGAGGGGGAGCAAAUCCCAUCAAAGCCGGUCUCAGUUCGGAUUGGAGGCUGAAACUCGCCUCCBUGAAGUCGGAAUCGCUAGUAACGGUAGGUCAGCACACUACCGUGAAUACGUUCCCGGGUCUUGUACACACCGCCCGUCAAGCCAUGAAAGUCGUCAAUACCUGACGUGCUAGCUAGUCUAGCCCUAAGGUAGGGGUGAUGAUUGGGGUUAAGUCGUAACAAGGUAA